This 463-nucleotide ribosomal RNA is filed under the name uncultured bacterium. RNAcentral's name for it is "partial 16S ribosomal RNA". It matches the Rfam family "Bacterial small subunit ribosomal RNA", at positions 29 to 506 of the family's 1533-position model. The record is from RNAcentral.
ACGAACGCUGGCGGCGUGCUUAACCCAUGCCAGUCGACCGGAAAGGCCCCUUUGGGGGUACUCGAGUGGCGACCGGGUGAGUAACCCGUGAGUAACCUGCCCUUGACUUCGGGAUAACUUCAGGAAACUGGGGCUAAUACCGGAUAGGAAUCCUUGCUGCAUUGUGGGGGUUGGAAAGCUUCGGCGGUUUUGGAUGGACUCGCGGCUUAUCAGCUUGUUGGUGGGGUAGUGGCUUACCAAGGCUUUGACGGGUAGCCGGCCUGAGAGGGCGACCGGCCACAUUGGGACUGAGAUACGGCCCAGACUCCUACGGGAGGCAGCAGUGGGGAAUAUUGCACAAUGGGCGGAAGCCUGAUGCAGCAACGCCGCGUGCGGGAUGACGGCCUUCGGGUUGUAAACCGCUUUCAGCAGGGGCGAAGCUUGUGGUGACGGUACCUGCAGAAGAAGCACCGGCUAACUACGU